CCCAGACUCCUACGGGAGGCAGCAGUGAGGAAUAUUGGUCAAUGGCCGGAAGGCUGAACCAGCCAAGUCGCGUGAGGGAAUAAGGCCCUAUGGGUCGUAAACCUCUUUUGUCAGGGAGCAAAGGCGUCCACGUGUGGACGAGAGGAGAGUACCUGAAGAAAAAGCAUCGGCUAACUCCGUGCCAGCAGCCGCGGUAAUACGGAGGAUCCGAGCGUUAUCCGGAUUUAUUGGGUUUAAAGGGUGCGUAGGCGUGCUUUUAAGUCAGCGGUAAAAAUUCGGGGCUCAACCCCGUCCGGCCGUUGAAACUGGGGGCCUUGAGUGGGCGAGAAGAAGGCGGAAUGCGUGGUGUAGCGGUGAAAUGCAUAGAUAUCACGCAGAACUCCGAUUGCGAAGGCAGCAUACCGGCGCGCAACUGACGCUCAUGCACGAAAGCGUGGGUAUCGAACAGGAUUAGAUACCCGCGUAC
RNAcentral lists this ribosomal RNA (466 nucleotides) under uncultured bacterium. RNAcentral describes it as "bacterial SSU rRNA". It matches the Rfam family "Bacterial small subunit ribosomal RNA", at positions 330 to 793 of the family's 1533-position model. The record is from RNAcentral.